This is a long non-coding RNA of Cucumis melo (muskmelon), 1117 nucleotides long. RefSeq lists it as uncharacterized. The record is from RefSeq and is a predicted model, not a curated record. Lineage: Eukaryota; Viridiplantae; Streptophyta; Magnoliopsida; Cucurbitales; Cucurbitaceae. The transcript is spliced from 6 exons.
AUUUUAAUUUUUUAUUUUAUAAAAAAUGACUUUCUCUCUCUUACUUUACUCUUUCUCAAUCACCCACACGAUUUCAUCCUUCCAAUUUCUUCUUCACUCCUCAUUCUCAUCUAACAAUCUUCCCUUUCUUCUCCGAAGAGUCGCUGGCACCACCACCACCAUCGUCCCUCGUGCCCAGCUCGUGCCCGCCACCACCGCCGUCACUCCUCACUUUCUUCAAACACUGAUGUUGCUUUGGGGUUUUUUGCUUUGGGGUUGUCGACGAAAAGAAUGAUCCGUUUUCUAUGGCACCCCAAAAAGCACUUGAAAGUAUUGGAAAAACAUUGAGUGUACAGUAUGAGAGGUGGCAACCCAGGGCCCGUUAUAAAGUUCAGCUGGAUCCCACUGUGGAAGAGGUAAAAAAGCUUUGUAGUACAUGUCGCAAGUAUGCAAAGACUGAACGGGUUCUCUUCCAUUAUGUUUAAAUAUUAGUGUUGAUCCACCUGAUGUAAUUAAGAUUUCACCUUGUGCCAGAAUGGAGUGCUGGAUAGUGAUCUGGAUUCAUGGUUGAAGACACCUUCCAUUUACGUGUUCGACUGUUCUGCUGCUGGGAUGAUAGUCAAUGCCUUCACUGAGCUUCACGAUCCCUCUGGAUUAACGAGGGACUGCAUUUUGCUUGCAGCAUGUGAAUAACAUGAAACUCUUCCCCAAAGAGCUGAAUUUCCUGCAGAUGUUUUUACCUCUUGCCUUACAACACCAAUCAAGAUGGCCUUGAGAUGGUUAUUCGAGCUCGGUUGCUACAGUUCAGGAAGAGGAAUGUCAAGCCCUUGCUGCAUUUGGUGCCUGUUUCCAAUAUUAAUAAUUGUUUGAAGAAGCAUUUUCGAGACCUUUAAAAUGUCGUGAUCUUUGAAUUUAUAUAAUUCUGUUUGGUUGCAAUUAAUUUUACAAGCGUGUUUUCAUUGUUGGUGGAAUCAGACUUGAAUAAUAUGGGAUUUAUGUGCUUUAAGAUAUGAAUGGGAUUUAUUGUUGCUUUAAGAUAUGAAUGGGAUUUAUGUGCAAGUGCUAAUAGCAUUUUCAUUGUUGGUGGAAUCAGACUUGAAUAAUAUGGUUUCCUACGUAAUGUGACUUGUAGUUUCAA